CACGUGGGAUCCGAGCGUUAUCCGGAUUUACUGGGCGUAAAGCGCGUGCAGGUGGUUCGGUUAGUUGGAUGUGAAAUCUCCUGGCUCAACCGGGAGUGGCCGUUCAAUACUGCCGGACUAGAGGGCGAUAGAGGGAGGUGGAAUUCCCGGUGUAGUGGUGAAAUGCGUAGAUAUCGGGAGGAACACCAGAGGCGAAAGCGGCCUCCUGGAUCGACCCUGACGCUAAGACGCGAAAGCUAGGGGAGCGAACGGGAUUAGAAACCCCGGUAGUCCUAGCUGUAAACGAUGUGAACUUGGUGUUGGUGGCGUAAGAACCAUCAGUGCCGAAGCUAACGCGAUAAGUUCACCGCCUGGGGACUACGACCGCAAGGUUAAA
This 376-nucleotide ribosomal RNA is filed under the name uncultured bacterium. RNAcentral's name for it is "bacterial SSU rRNA". It matches the Rfam family "Bacterial small subunit ribosomal RNA", at positions 524 to 898 of the family's 1533-position model. The record is from RNAcentral.